CAUGGAGUUUGAUCCUGGCUCAGGAUGAACGCUAGCGGCAGGCUUAACACAUGCAAGUCGAGGGGUAUAGUUCUUCGGAGCUAGAGACCGGCGCACGGGUGCGUAACGCGUAUGCAAUCUACCUUUUACAGAGGGAUAGCCCAGAGAAAUUUGGAUUAAUACCUUAUAGUAUAACGACUUCGCAUGGAGAUGUUAUUAAAGAUUUAUCGGUGAAAGAUGAGCAUGCGUCCCAUUAGCUAG
RNAcentral lists this ribosomal RNA (240 nucleotides) under uncultured Flavobacterium sp. RNAcentral's name for it is "partial 16S ribosomal RNA". It matches the Rfam family "Bacterial small subunit ribosomal RNA", at positions 1 to 248 of the family's 1533-position model. Lineage: Bacteria; Pseudomonadati; Bacteroidota; Flavobacteriia; Flavobacteriales; Flavobacteriaceae. The record is from RNAcentral.